This 326-nucleotide ribosomal RNA is filed under the name uncultured bacterium. RNAcentral describes it as "bacterial SSU rRNA". It matches the Rfam family "Bacterial small subunit ribosomal RNA", at positions 170 to 507 of the family's 1533-position model. The record is from RNAcentral.
UUAAUUGUUUAAUUUAAGGGCAUUCCUUAGAAUAACCAAAGCUUAAUGUGCUGAAAGAUUGGUCUCGCGUCUGAUUAGCUAGAUGGCGGGGUAACGGCCCACCAUGGCGACGAUCAGUAGCCGGUCUGAGAGGAUGAACGGCCACAUUGGGACUGAGAUACGGCCCAGACUCCUACGGGAGGCAGCAGUGGGGAAUAUUGGGCAAUGGGGGAAACCCUGACCCAGCAACGCCGCGUGAAGGAAGAAGGCCUUCGGGUUGUAAACUUCUUUUAGUAGGGACGAAGAACGUGACGGUACCUACAGAAAAAGCAACGGCUAACUACGUG